UGGGGAAUCUUGCGCAAUGCGCGAAAGCGUGACGCAGCAACGCCGCGUGGGGGAAGACGGCCUUCGGGUUGUAAACCCCUUUCAGUUGGGACGAAGCUUCGGCGGUGAAUAGCCGUUCGGAGUGACGGUACCUUCAGAAGAAGCCCCGGCUAACUACGUGCCAGCAGCCGCGGUAAUACGUAGGGGGCAAGCGUUGUCCGGAAUUAUUGGGCGUAAAGCGCGUGUAGGCGGCUCGGUAAGUCCGCUGUGAAAGUCCAGGGCUCAACCCUGGAAUGCCGGUGGAAACUGUCGAGCUAGAGUCCGGAAGAGGCGAGUGGAAUUCCUGGUGUAGCGGUGAAAUGCGCAGAUAUCAGGAGGAACACCAAUGGCGAAGGCAGCUCGCUGGGACGGUACUGACGCUGAGACGCGAAAGCGUGGGGAGCAAACAG
Molecule: ribosomal RNA, 428 nt
Filed under: uncultured bacterium
Lineage: Bacteria
Description: bacterial SSU rRNA
Rfam family: Bacterial small subunit ribosomal RNA
Source: RNAcentral